This 253-nucleotide ribosomal RNA is filed under the name uncultured bacterium. RNAcentral describes it as "partial 16S ribosomal RNA". It matches the Rfam family "Bacterial small subunit ribosomal RNA", at positions 524 to 776 of the family's 1533-position model. The record is from RNAcentral.
UACAGAGGGUGCGAGCGUUAAUCGGAAUUACUGGGCGUAAAGCGCGCGUAGGCGGCUAUUCAAGUCGAUUGUGAAAUCCCCGGGCUUAACCUGGGAACUGCAGUCGAGACUGUCUAGCUAGAGUAUGGGAGAGGGAAGUGGAAUUUCAGGUGUAGCGGUGAAAUGCGUAGAUAUCUGAAGGAACAUCAGUGGCGAAAGCGACUUCCUGGACCAAUACUGACGCUGAGGCGCGAAAGCCAGGGGAGCAAACGGG